This is a long non-coding RNA of Oreochromis aureus, 1584 nucleotides long. NCBI's taxonomy places the organism in Eukaryota, Metazoa, Chordata, Actinopteri, Cichliformes, Cichlidae. The record is from Ensembl.
GUUAAAGCUAAAGAUGAUUUUCAACAUUAUUAAUUUUAACUACAAAAUUUAAUUUAAUUCUUAUUUCUGUUAAAACAAACUUCCCCAUCUUACAGGACAUCAUAAGUAUGCGGCACAUUUCAGGGUGCUUAAGUACUGCGUAAGCAAUUUGCUGCAGAAAAUAUGCAUAAGAAGGAUAGUGAAUAUAAUGGAUAAAGUAUGCUGAAACUGGAGCUUCUAUGGAGAAGGAAAAGAGAAAGACCACAGAGGAAGUUCAGGGACAUUUUUGGGAAGGCAAGGUCGCAGGGGCAGCAGCCUAAGCAGAGAAGCCCAGACCUCCCUCUCCCCAGCCACCUCCUCCAGCUUGUCUCCUCCCAGUGGGACAUGCCCAGAAUACCUCACCCAGGAGGCACCCAGGAGGCAUCCUUAUCAGAUGCCCAAACCACCUCAGCUGGCUCGUUUUGAUGUGGAGGAGCAGCGGCUCUGAGCCCCUCCCAAAUGGCUGAACUUCUCACCCUAUCUCUAAGGGAGAGGCCAGCCACCCUUUGGAGGAAGCUCAUUUCUGCUGCUUGUAUCUGCGAUCUUAUUCUUCCGGUCACUACCCACAGCUCGUGACCAUAGGUGAGAUUCUGAGACCACCCAGGUGAAAGCCUUCUGCCACUUGGCUAUGCCUAGAAAUUCUGUCCAUAAAGAUUAUGAACAGAAUCAGUGACAAAGGGAAGGCCUGGCAGAGUCCAUCACCCACCAGAAACGGUCCGACUUAUUGCCAGGAUAUAAGGAUCGAAUGGCCCGUUUGUAAAAGCCCAAAAUAAAAUGCAUGAUUUCAAACUUGUCAGUCUUACAGUCUUAAUAUUUUUGAGUGUCCAAAUGAUAACGAGAAAGAUUUAUUUCACAUCAAUUUUUGAAACUGCUUAUUUAAUUCAUGGUUGUAGGAGGGUAGAACCUAUGCCAACUGUCAUGGGACAAAUGAUUCAUUUUGAUUUUAGUGCUAAAGGAAAAAAAAUUCUUAAAAACUGCUGAAAAUGUUACAUUUUCAAUUGUCUGUACAGAUGGACAUUACUUGUGCUAUCCUAUUAGCUGGGAUGAUGUUGCAAAAUUAAAAGACACAAAUGCCAAACUGAAAAAAGAUACAUAACUUGUGAUUUCCAUGAUGUUUUACAGUAUUGUUUAAGUAUUUUACUAAUAUUUCUAAAGCUCCUUUUUAAGGGUUAAGAAAUAAUUUCAUGUUCUUGUUUUUAAUUAAUGUUUGAAAACAACUCACCUCUCCAUCCGAGUUAUUAUAGGCUCGGAUGAGCCCAUGCCUUGCAAAAUUUGAUUGUAUUUACGAAUGUAUAAUUUCAAAAUUAAAGGGAGAACAGUUCUUAUUACUAUCAUUUUUCUAUUUAAUAUAACACACCGUUGAAUAGCCUACAGACCAAGAAAGACAAUUCCUUGAACAUCAUGUGUCAUCAAUGAGACCUUGUACACACGUGUGUCUUUCCAAAUUAUGUCCAAUCACCUGAGGUUACCACAGCAGGACAGCAGGAAGUUUUACAGAUUGAUGAUUAAUGGAAACAGGAUCUACCUGAGCUCAGUUUUGAUUGUCAUAGCAAUGGUUGUAAGUAC